CCUAAGGUAGCGAAAUUCCUUGUCAGGUAAGUUCUGACCCGCACGAAAGGCGUAACGAUUUGGGCGCUGUCUCAGCUGUAGACUCGGUGAAGUCUUAGUACCUGUGAAGAUGCAGGUUACCCGCGACUAGACGGAAAGACCCCAUGGAGCUUCACUGCAGGUUGAUAUUGGGAUUUGAUGCAGCAUGUACAGGAUAGGUAGGAGGCUAGGAGAUGGAUACGCCAGUAUUCAAGGAGCCGCUGUUGGGAUACUACCCCUGUUGUAUUGGAUUUCUAACCGGACGACGUAGAGCCGUUGACGGGACAGUGUCAGUCGGGCAGUUUGACUGGGGCGGUCGCCUCCCAAAGAGUAACGGAGGCGCCCAAAGAUACCCUCAGCUUGGAUGGAAACCAAGCGCAGAGUGCAAAGGCAAAAGGGUGUUUGACUGCGAGACCCACAAGUCGAGCAGGGACGAAAGUCGGGCUUAGUGAUCCGGCGGUGCUGAAUGGAAAGGCCGUCGCUCAACGGAUAAAAGCUACCCUGGGGAUAACAGGCUGAUCUCCCCCAAGAGUCCACAUCGACGGGGAGGUUUGGCACCUCGAUGUCGGCUCAUCGCAUCCUGGAGCUGAAGUCGGUUCCAAGGGUUGGGCUGUUCGCCCAUUAAAGCGGUACGCGAGCUGGGUUCAGAACGUCGUGAGACAGUUCGGUCCCUAUCUGUCGUGGGCGCAGGAAAUUUGAGAAGAGCUGUCCUCAGUACGAGAGGACCGGGAUGGACGCAUCAAUGGUGGACCAGUUGUCACGCCAGUGGCAUAGCUGGGUAGCUAAAUGCGGAAGGGAUAAACGCUGAAGGCAUCUAAGUGUGAAACCCACUUCAAGAUGAGAUUUCCCAUUGCGCAAGCAAGUAAGACCCCUUAAAGACGAUAAGGUAGAUAGGUCAGGAGUGUAAGCAUGGUGACAUGUUAAGCGGACUGAUACUAAUAGGUCGAGGGCUUGACCGA
RNAcentral lists this ribosomal RNA (977 nucleotides) under human gut metagenome. RNAcentral's name for it is "bacterial LSU rRNA". It matches the Rfam family "Bacterial large subunit ribosomal RNA", at positions 1950 to 2925 of the family's 2925-position model. The record is from RNAcentral.